This 263-nucleotide ribosomal RNA is filed under the name uncultured bacterium. RNAcentral describes it as "partial 16S ribosomal RNA". It matches the Rfam family "Bacterial small subunit ribosomal RNA", at positions 793 to 1055 of the family's 1533-position model. The record is from RNAcentral.
GUCCACGCCGUAACGAUGAGAACUAGGUGUUGCGGGUAUUGACCCCUGCAGUGCCGUAGCUAACGCAUUAAGUUCUCCGCCUGGGAAGUACGGUCGCAAGACUAAACUCAAAGGAAUUGACGGGCCCGGCACAAGCGGUGGAGCAUGUGGUUUAAUUCGACGCAACGCGCAGAACCUUACCUGGGCUUGACAUCUACGGAACCUUCGUGAAAGCGAGGGGUGCCUUUCGGGGAGCCGUAAGACAGGUGCUGCAUGGCUGUCGU